Long non-coding RNA from Sarcophilus harrisii (Tasmanian devil), 1745 nucleotides. RefSeq lists it as uncharacterized. The record is from RefSeq and is a predicted model, not a curated record. The transcript has 3 exons. NCBI's taxonomy places the organism in Eukaryota, Metazoa, Chordata, Mammalia, Dasyuromorphia, Dasyuridae.
UCCUUCCCUCCCCUCCCCCUGCUGUUGGACCCUCCCCUUUUCAGAAAGAAAAACAGUUAAAGGAAGCCAACGGACAGUCCUGUUCAGCAUUCCGACUCAUGUGCCUUUUAAUGGGCGCCUUUGGGAGACUUGACGGCUUAAAGGGGGACCCUGGUGGUGGAGAUUUCGGGCACUGGCCGGGCCCUCGUCAGGGAGGAUGAAGGAGAUGGCCUCUGAGGGUCCCUUCCAGCCUGGAUUCUUGUGCCUAUGAUGAAGGUCCCCGCAUCCCAGUUUCCCCAUUGGCAAUAUGAGGAGGUUGCACUGGAGAGACUGAGCUCCUCUCCGGCUCUAGAUUUUGGGUCCUGUGAUCCGCGUCCCGGGGAUGCUCUGGAUGGCCGUGAAUCUUGGAAGCUCCGUAUCCUCCGAAACAUCCAAACUGCAGGGCCCAGGACAUGGAAGUUGAAAGGUCACCCAGCCAUGAUGGGAUUUGAAUCCGGCUCCUCCUGACUCCAUGUCCAGUGCUCCAGCCGCUCUCCCACGCUGCCACAAAGCAAGUCGCUCCUGAAACCAGAGUGCUGAUCCGAAAGGACCUUUCUCAUUUUCUGAUUAGAUAAAAUUUUAAUUGUGACUUAGCACAAUCUUAAUGGUGAUAAACUGUGUCUUGUCCUUGCAGUUAAUAAAGGAUGAAGCUUUGCAGAUACCAGAUAGUGGUAAUAAGUUUUAACACCUUCCCCUGGAGUGUCUGCAAGACCAUUAGCUGAUUAGAAAAGUAAAAUGCUUUUGUGCAAGCUCAGCCCCUAACUGGGAGAGCGGAAGGGACCUCGGGGGCUGUGCGGGGGCCCCUUCUCCGCAGGGUCCCAAGCUGCUUGGGUUUGAGGUCUCUGAUGGGGGAAGGUAUUGAUUAAUGCAAGGUGGCUCACUAGGUGGUUGGGUGGAGAGGCAGGAGAGGCUGUUGGUGGGCGAGUUGUGAGACUGGGCCAGGCAGAGGGAGGAGAUGGAGAAGGACGGAGGGCCCCGGGCAGAUCCCAGAACCAGCUCCUCGGGGCUCCUUUUGUAUCUUCAGAGCUUAGUACAGUGCCCGGCACAGGGAGGCACUGGCAUGCAUGCUUAUUGAUCGAUUGGGAAUAGGAAUGAGGGAGGUGAGGCUAGAAUUGGAGGUUGGAGCCAGGCUUAAAACCCAGGUGGACGAGCCUCUACACAGGGCUGGAGGUUUCCCAAGUACCCUGGGUAAAAAAGCAACCAGAAGUGGAGGAGAACCCAGAAGUCAGGGAAACUGGGGCAGCCAGAGAAGGGAAAUGGAGGCGCCUUCUGGUGGGGGCUCCUGGAGAGACUUCAUUGGAGGGAGGAAGGGACUGGGGCUCAGGGGGAAGGGAUGGCGCCAGUGCCCAGAGCCAGUUCCCAGACUGGAGGAGAGAAUGUUUAAUGGGAAAGGUGACAGUAAAUAGGAUGUAAGUUCUAAGCUAUCCCAGAGAAUCCAGAGAAGCCUGCCCAGUGGAGGGAGCUCCCACCGAGGUUCAAGUUGGGUCGCUGACCUGUCCUGGUUGUGGGAGACCAUGGGCAAGACCCCAAGUCAGGUGAAGAACGGCUCAUUGGUGAAAGGCAUUCCCACAGCCAAGAACUUCGUGGGGACAAAUGUCACUAAAUGUUGUAUUUUGAUUUUGUUUAGUUUAGCCAUAGCCAUGAAAUCCUUUGCCUUACAAUAAUUGCUAACCCUUCCUUCUUGAUAUAUUUUUCUUGAUUUAAAAAAAAAAUCUCCAUUGAAUUAG